AGAAUGAACGCUGGCGGCGUGCUUAACACAUACAAGUCGAACGGAAUCCAAGGAGCUUGCUCUGGAAGAUUUAGUGGCGAACGGGUGAGUAUCACGUGAGCAACCUGCCCCGAAGACUGGGAUAACACCGGGAAACCGGUGCUAAUACCGGAUACCUUCCAAUGACCGCAUGGUCGAUGGAAGAAAUGUUUUUCGCUUCGGGAGGGGCUCGCGGUCCAUCAGCUUGUUGGCGGGGUAACGGCCCACCAAGGCUUCGACGGAUAGCUGGUCUGAGAGGACGAUCAGCCACACUGGAACUGAGACACGGUCCAGACUCCUACGGGAGGCAGCAGUGGGGAAUCUUGCGCAAUGGACGAAAGUCUGACGCAGCAACGCCGCGUGAGGGACGAAGGUUUUCUGAAUUGUAAACCUCUUUCGACAGGGACGAUAAUGACGGUACCUGUAGAAGAAGCACCGGCCAACUAUGUGCCAGCAGCCGCGGU
This 482-nucleotide ribosomal RNA is filed under the name uncultured bacterium. RNAcentral describes it as "SSU rRNA". It matches the Rfam family "Bacterial small subunit ribosomal RNA", at positions 26 to 521 of the family's 1533-position model. The record is from RNAcentral.